UUUGAUUUAGAUGCACCGACCUUAACUCUCUAUAACUUCGUCAUUAAAACUCCAAAUUCAUCAAAUAGUAUAUAAAAAGUGUAGUUACAAAAGUAUUUUUUCUAAUUCUAGUCACCAAUCCUUUGUUGCUUUCCAUAAAUAUAUGUUAUGUCCAAAAAAGUGACAAUAGUUAUGAAAUUGAUACCUAAACUUUGAGCAUCAAUAAUUCCUUCAUAAAAACUCCAAAUCAUACAAAAUUGCAUCCAAUCCAUAUCCAAAAAUCUAAAUUUGAUGAUUCU
Molecule: long non-coding RNA, 278 nt
Filed under: Physcomitrium patens
Lineage: Eukaryota; Viridiplantae; Streptophyta; Bryopsida; Funariales; Funariaceae
Description: long non-coding RNA (PPAT_LNC012761)
Source: RNAcentral